Molecule: ribosomal RNA, 484 nt
Filed under: uncultured bacterium
Lineage: Bacteria
Description: partial 16S ribosomal RNA
Rfam family: Bacterial small subunit ribosomal RNA
Source: RNAcentral
AUUGAAUGCUGGCGGCAGGCCUAACACAUGCAAGUCGAGCGGAUGAAGGGAGCUUUCUCCUGGAUUCAGCGGCGGACGGGUGAGUAAUGCCUAGGAAUCUGCCUGGUAGUGGGGGAUAACGUCCGGACACGGGCGCUAAUACCGCAUACGUCCUGAUGGAGAAAGUGGGGGAUCUUCGGACCUCACGCUAUCAGAUGAGCCUAGGUCGGAUUAGCUAGUUGGUGGGGUAAAGGCCUACCAAGGCGACGAUCCGUAACUGGUCUGAGAGGAUGAUCAGUCACACUGGAACUGAGACACGGUCCAGACUCCUACGGGAGGCAGCAGUAGGGAAUAUUGGACAAUGGGCGAAAGCCUGAUCCAGCCAUGCCGCGUGUGUGAAGAAGGUCUUCGGAUUGUAAAGCACUUUAAGUUGGGAGGAAGGGCAGUAAGUUAAUACCUUGCUGUUUUGACGUUACCAACAGAAUAAGCACCGGCUAACUUCGUG